Molecule: long non-coding RNA, 741 nt
Organism: Nicotiana tabacum (common tobacco)
Lineage: Eukaryota; Viridiplantae; Streptophyta; Magnoliopsida; Solanales; Solanaceae
Source: RefSeq, a predicted model, not a curated record
AGGUCCCUACCCUGAAGAAGCUAGAAACCACGCUCCAUUCUCCUCUCAAAAGAGAUGAAACUUGACCCCUUCUCCUUCACUCUGUCAACGGCGCACCCCUCUCCAUUUUUCAACAAGAGACGAACCUUAUUGUUCUGCCUUUUGAUUUGUUUCAAGCUUAAUUUUCGAAGCUGUAGUGCUAAUGUCAAUGUUGAUGGGAAAAUUGUGAAUUUGGGUCUCUGGAAUACUGCUUAAAAUCGGCUGGGACUGACAUGGUCAUGGUUGCUGCUGUUAUUUUGUUGAAGGCUUGUAACUGGGUUUUCAUUUUUAUAGCUAUUGUUUCUUGCCUUCAUUUGACUCACUCUAGUGCUGUCUUCCGUUCGAUUUAGGAUUUCCUAACAGGCAGCCGCUUUCUUCAGGACUAAUUUUGGUGCUUUCAUUGCUGCUAAUAGCUAAUUCUAAAUUUUCUUCUGGAGUAUGUUAUUAUCCUUUGACAUGAGCUGAGUGAAUUUGUAGGAUAGAUUUUAGGAAGCAAAUUUAGCUACCAUGAUCAUGAGACUAAUCUAGGAGUACUAAAGACCAUGGUAAUAUAGGGGAAAGAGAUCUGAAAUAAGCUUUGUUUAAGAGGACCCUGCUCUUCUGAGAUGGAUAAAACUGCAGCUUUUGUCAUCUGCAGUUUGUAUAGCUUGACUUUUUCUUAGAAUUCUUUAUUCAUUCUGCUUUAUCUUUCAAAAUUUUGAUGUUAUAGAAGUUUACAAAUCA